GUCGAGCGGCGGACGGGUGAGUAACACGUGAGAAUCUGCCCAUUAGUGGGGGAUAACCUGGGGAAACCCAGGCUAAUACCGCAUAAUCCCUACGGGGGAAAGCAGGGGACCUUCGGGCCUUGUGCUGAUGGAUGAGCUCGCGUCGGAUUAGCUUGUUGGUGAGGUAAUGGCUCACCAAGGCGACGAUCCGUAGCUGGUCUUAGAGGAUGAUCAGCCACACCGGGACUGAGACACGGCCCGGACUCCUACGGGAGGCAGCAGUGGGGAAUCUUGGACAAUGGGGGCAACCCUGAUCCAGCCAUGCCGCGUGUGUGAAGAAGGCCUUCGGGUUGUAAAGCACUUUCAGUAGGGAGGAAGGCUUAUCCUUAAUACGGAUGAGUACUUGACGUUACCUACAGAAGAAGCACCGGCUAAUUUCGUGCCAGCAGCCGCGGUAAUACGAAAGGUGCGAGCGUUAAUCGGAAUUACUGGGCGUAAAGCGCGCGUAGGCGGUUUGCUAAGUCAGAUGUGAAAGCCCCGGGCUCAACCUGGGAACUGCAUUUGAAACUGGCAGGCUAGAAUGCAGUAGAGGGAGGUGGAAUUUCCGGUGUAGCGGUGAAAUGCGUAGAGAUCGGAAGGAACACCAGUGGCGAAGGCGGCCUCCUGGACUGACAUUGACGCUGAGGUGCGAAAGCGUGGGGAGCAAACAGGAUUAGAUACCCUGGUAGUCCACGCCGUAAACGAUGUCUACUAGUCGUUGGGAAUCUUAGUAUUCUUGGUGACGAAGUUAACGCGAUAAGUAGACCGCCUGGGGGAGUACGGCCGCAAGGUUAAAACUCAAAUGAAUUGACGGGGGCCCGCACAAGCGGUGGAACCAUGGUGGUUUAAUUCGAUGCAACGCGAAGAACCUUACCAGGCCUUGACAUCCUUGGAACUUUCUAGAAGAUAGAUUGGUGCCUUCGGGAGCCAAGUGACAGGUGCUGCAUGGCUGUCGUCAGCUCG
This 981-nucleotide ribosomal RNA is filed under the name Alcanivorax borkumensis. Its description in RNAcentral is "bacterial SSU rRNA". It matches the Rfam family "Bacterial small subunit ribosomal RNA", at positions 90 to 1062 of the family's 1533-position model. The record is from RNAcentral. Lineage: Bacteria; Pseudomonadati; Pseudomonadota; Gammaproteobacteria; Oceanospirillales; Alcanivoracaceae.